Equus caballus (horse) is the source of this 1823-nucleotide non-coding RNA. The record is from RefSeq and is a predicted model, not a curated record. NCBI's taxonomy places the organism in Eukaryota, Metazoa, Chordata, Mammalia, Perissodactyla, Equidae.
AGUGUGUUUUCACCAGACACUCAAUCUAACGGCACCUUGAUCUUGAACUUCCAGCCUUCAGAACUGUGAGAAAUACAUUUCUGUUGUUUAUAAGCCACUCAGUCUACGGUAUUUUUGUUACCGCAGCUUGAAUGGACUAAGACAGGACACUAUUGAGCAUCUCUCCUGAGAUGAUGAUAAACUCUUCUCUGCUGCUCUCCAUCGUCUCCAAUAUCACCUCUUGCGUGAGAGUUUCCUCUGACCUUUACCGCCCGCUCAGCCAACAUACGAAUACAGGAAGAAACACACAACUUAGAAAAGGUGAUUCUAAAGCGCGAGUCUGAGAACCGCCACUAUUGACAGGAGCCACUGACAUCCGCCUUGGCAUCCAAGUUAGCAGAAUGGAGCCUCUAAGCAAAAAGAAGGCACCAGGGGCAGUAGGACACUCAGGAUAUUCUCCGGGGUACAGGCACACGGUGUGCAGCUGCCAUCUGAACCCUGAAACUUCUGGGCUCAUGCAAGUGUCAUUGCCUUUCUCAAGAUUUCUGAAAAUUCCCAAGGGCCUCAUGGCCUCGAGCAUCUGCUUCUGUAACACAUCUGUGUCUGUAACACAGGGUAAACUCAGGGAUUGGCUUGCUGCCCUCAAGUGUGUUUCCUGCUUAGACUUGAUCAACCCAGACCUGAAUCUCUGCCCCUUUCCAUAGUUGACAUUAAAAGCCUCUCACACAAGUUAUUGUGUGUGUGUGUGUGUGUGUGUGUGGUAGUUUGAUAAAAUAGAGGGGUCUUAUACUUCAGCACACAACAUCAAAUAUAACAUUAGUGAGACCUAUUCUUACAAGUCUCUCAGCACCCUGCAUGUUGCCAGGCUCAUGUUCCCUCUCUUCUCUUCUCACUUCCCUUCUUUCCUUCCUCUGUCCUUCUGACCUAUGGUUCAGAUCUUCCCAUUUGCUUAUGUGGAACGAUCUAGCUCUCCUCAGCCCCUGCCCCUACGUUCAGCUCUAGGCCUCCCUUCACAGAGCUAAAGACGUGGUUUAUGUAGCCGGAUUACGUUUGUAGACAAAGGCCAUGUUCCUCCCACGGAGCAGUGUGGUAGUUUUGAAACAUGUCCACAGAUUCCCUGAUACGUCUGCUUUCAAAUGCAGUGCGGGCUGAACUUGAUGACUCACCUCCAACAAAUAAAGUAUGGCAGAAGUGACAUGUGACUUCCCAGGGGAGCACAUAAAAGGCGCUAUGACUUCCUCCUCUCGCUCAGAUUACUCUCCUGGGGAAAGCCAGUUGCCAUGUCACAAGGAUGCUCAAGCAGGUGUGGAAACCCAGAGAAACUUCUCUCUUCUCUGUCUCCAUUGCCAACACUUCCCACCUACACAGCUCUGGGUCAGAGUGUAAAGUGUGCCUGGGGGAGGGGAUGUGCUGGGUCACAGCAGAGGAGACAGACCAGCAACACGGAGGCAAUCAAGUGCAGUGAAGAGGGGCACAGGCUCUGGAGUCACGAAAACCUGAGUUUGAGUCCAGCUCCACUUCUUGCCACCAGCUCCUCUAAGCUUCUGAAGCUUCAGUUUGCUCAGCUGUAAAAUGGGGCUUUAUCUCCUUCUGAGAGAAGUGGGUUGAGGCACAGAUAGGCUUGGUGCUAGGCCUGGCCCCAUGGAAGUACUUACUUGGUGGCAGUAAUGAUGAUGAGUAUUGGCUGAGUACCUACUAUGUGUCAGGCUCUGUGAUAGCUGUAUCACAUACAUUAUCACAUCAUUUUAAUAAUCACACAGCAACUCAAUACGGUUGAUAAGUUGUAGUGGUUACAUAGCGUCUCCCUAAAAGAUACAUUCAAAUCACAAUUCCAAGUAUCUGUG